This is a non-coding RNA of Paramisgurnus dabryanus, 525 nucleotides long. NCBI's taxonomy places the organism in Eukaryota, Metazoa, Chordata, Actinopteri, Cypriniformes, Cobitidae. The record is from RefSeq and is a predicted model, not a curated record.
UCGUUUUUUUAUUUUUAUUUUUUAUACAAUUAAAUAACUUAAACAGGUAAUAUAAAUGGAUGAAUGAAUGAAUACGAAUUUAUAAAUGAAUAAUUAAAGACAAGAAAAUUUUGAUUUGCAGACAACUAUGUGUCUGCAGUGCUAGCGUUUUAGUCAGGCGCAACAUAGACACCUGCGCCACCUGCGCGUCGGCGGCGGCGCGCAAGUGCACAACGUCGUCACUCACUGUAAACAAUGAUGAGCCAUUUGACAUGUCAAAAAAAAGGAUAUAUCCCUCUGGGGCCGAAAAGAGAACAAAGAAAAGGACCGAGGAUGAGAAAAAAAGAGCAAGAUAAAGGAACACUGUUGAAGUACUUUGUAGCACAACCAACUCCACCCGCCCCUGAUGUUUCAUCAAGUGUCAGUGUCUCCACAGCUGAUGAUGCAGCAGAUGAGAGCGUGACAUUUGUGUCCGCGUGGUGGGAGGGGGGCCCCCAAACACAUUCUGCUUAGGGCCCCCAAGAGGCUCAGGCCGGCACUGGGUCA